RNAcentral lists this ribosomal RNA (371 nucleotides) under uncultured organism. RNAcentral describes it as "bacterial SSU rRNA". It matches the Rfam family "Bacterial small subunit ribosomal RNA", at positions 526 to 896 of the family's 1533-position model. The record is from RNAcentral.
CGUAGGGUGCGAGCGUCAAUCGGAAUUACUGGGCGUAAAGCGUGCGCAGGCGGUUUUGUAAGCCAGAUGUGAAAUCCCCGGGCUUAACCUGGGAAUGGCAUUUGGGACUGCAAGGCUUGAGUGCGGCAGAGGAGACUGGAAUUCCCGGUGUAGCAGUGAAAUGCGUAGAUAUCGGGAGGAAUACCGAUGGCGAAGGCAGGUCUCUGGGCUGACACUGACGCUCAUGCACGAAAGCGUGGGGAGCAAACAGGAUUAGAUACCCUGGUAGUCCACGCCCUAAACGAUGUCGACUGGUUGUUGGGGGUUUGACACUCUCAGUAACGAAGCUAACGCGUGAAGUCGACCGCCUGGGGAGUACGGCCGCAAGGUUA